GACGGGGGAUGCAAGCGUUAUCCGGAAUCACUGGGCGUAAAGCGUCUGUAGGUGGUGAUGCAAGUCACUGGUGCAAAACUCUGGCUCAACCGGAGGAAAGCCAGUGAAACUGCAUGACUAGAGUGUGAGAGUGGUAGAAGGAAUUCGCAGAGUAGCGGUGAAAUGCGUAGAUACAGGGAAGAAAAACGGAGAAGAAAGCGUUCUAUUGGAACACAACUGACACUGAUACACGAAAUCUAGUGGAGCGAAUGGG
RNAcentral lists this ribosomal RNA (253 nucleotides) under uncultured bacterium. RNAcentral describes it as "partial 16S ribosomal RNA". It matches the Rfam family "Bacterial small subunit ribosomal RNA", at positions 524 to 776 of the family's 1533-position model. The record is from RNAcentral.